This 422-nucleotide ribosomal RNA is filed under the name uncultured eukaryote. RNAcentral's name for it is "bacterial SSU rRNA". It matches the Rfam family "Eukaryotic small subunit ribosomal RNA", at positions 592 to 1018 of the family's 1831-position model. The record is from RNAcentral.
CAAUAGCGUAUAUUAAAGUUGUUGCGGUUAAAAGCUCGUAGUUGGAUUUCUGCUGAGGACGACCGGUCCGCCCUCUGGGUGAGUAUCUGGUUCGGCCUGGGCAUCUUCUUGGAGAGCGUAGCUGCACUUGACUGUGUGGUGCGGUAUCCAGGACUUUUACUUUGAGGAAAUUAGAGUGUUCAAAGCAGGCAGCUCGCCUGAAUAAUGGUGCAUGGAAUAAUAGAAAAGGACCUCGGUUCUAUUUUGUUGGUUUCCGGAACUUGAGGUAAUGAUUAAGAGGGACAGACGGGGGCAUUCGUAUUACGGUGUUAGAGGUGAAAUUCUUGGAUCGCCGUAAGACGAACUACUGCGAAAGCAUUUGCCAAGAAUGUUUUCAUUAAUCAAGAACGAAAGUCAGAGGUUCGAAGACGAUCAGAUACCAU